UACGUAGGGUGCAAGCGUUAAUCGGAAUUACUGGGCGUAAAGCGUGCGCAGGCGGCUUUGCAAGACAGAUGUGAAAUCCCCGGGCUUAACCUGGGAACUGCAUUUGUGACUGCAUAGCUUGAGUGCGGCAGAGGGGGAUGGAAUUCCGCGUGUAGCAGUGAAAUGCGUAGAUAUGCGGAGGAACACCGAUGGCGAAGGCAAUCCCCUGGGCCUGCACUGACGCUCAUGCACGAAAGCGUGGGGAGCAAACAGG
Molecule: ribosomal RNA, 253 nt
Filed under: uncultured bacterium
Lineage: Bacteria
Description: partial 16S ribosomal RNA
Rfam family: Bacterial small subunit ribosomal RNA
Source: RNAcentral